This 564-nucleotide ribosomal RNA is filed under the name uncultured Planotetraspora sp. Its description in RNAcentral is "bacterial SSU rRNA". It matches the Rfam family "Bacterial small subunit ribosomal RNA", at positions 340 to 919 of the family's 1533-position model. The record is from RNAcentral. Lineage: Bacteria; Bacillati; Actinomycetota; Actinomycetes; Streptosporangiales; Streptosporangiaceae.
UACGGGAGGCAGCAGUGGGGAAUAUUGCGCAAUGGGCGGAAGCCUGACGCAGCGACGCCGCGUGGGGGAUGACGGCCUUCGGGUUGUAAACCUCUUUCAGCAGGGACGAAGUUGACGUGUACCUGUAGAAGAAGCGCCGGCUAACUACGUGCCAGCAGCCGCGGUAAUACGUAGGGCGCAAGCGUUGUCCGGAAUUAUUGGGCGUAAAGAGCUCGUAGGUGGCUUGUUGCGUCUGCCGUGAAAGCCCGUGGCUUAACUGCGGGUCUGCGGUGGAUACGGGCAGGCUAGAGGCUGGUAGGGGCAAGCGGAAUUCCUGGUGUAGCGGUGAAAUGCGCAGAUAUCAGGAGGAACACCGGUGGCGAAGGCGGCUUGCUGGGCCAGUUCUGACGCUGAGGAGCGAAAGCGUGGGGAGCGAACAGGAUUAGAUACCCUGGUAGUCCACGCUGUAAACGUUGGGCGCUAGGUGUGGGGAUCUUCCAUGGUCUCUGUGCCGUAGCUAACGCAUUAAGCGCCCCGCCUGGGGAGUACGGCCGCAAGGCUAAAACUCAAAGGAAUUGACGGGGA